Long non-coding RNA from Nannospalax galili (Upper Galilee mountains blind mole rat), 176 nucleotides. RefSeq lists it as uncharacterized. The record is from RefSeq and is a predicted model, not a curated record. The transcript is spliced from 2 exons. Lineage: Eukaryota; Metazoa; Chordata; Mammalia; Rodentia; Spalacidae.
AAUAAGAUACUCAUUGUAGUUCUCCUCUUACAGCCUAACACUGGAAGGAAGGAUUCACUUCCAAAGAGAAGAUUACCAAGGAAAUCUAAAAUCUCAUUCCAAUUAGAACAAGACUUCCCUGUGACCUCCAGGGAACAGAAAAGGGAGGAUGGCAGCGCUACCAGUCAGCCACUGGU